This 253-nucleotide ribosomal RNA is filed under the name uncultured bacterium. RNAcentral's name for it is "partial 16S ribosomal RNA". It matches the Rfam family "Bacterial small subunit ribosomal RNA", at positions 524 to 776 of the family's 1533-position model. The record is from RNAcentral.
UACGGGGGGGGCAAGCGUUGUUCGGAAUUACUGGGCGUAAAGCGCGCGUAGGCGGCUUUUCAAGUCGGGCGUGAAAGCCCCGGGCUUAACCCGGGAAUGGCGCUCGAUACUGUUGAGCUAGAGUGUGGAAGGGGCUACUGGAAUUCCGUGUGUAGCGGUGAAAUGCGCAGAUAUCGGGAGGAACACCAAUGGCGAAGGCAGCUUGCUGGGACGGUACUGACGCUGAGACGCGAAAGCGUGGGGAGCAAACAGG